AAAACUUGUAUAUAUGGUGAGGCAUUAACAAACCUUUCAUAACAUUUAAAAAUGUCCUGGACUCCUAGGAUGUUCCUGGUAAGUGCAGAGACAAAAUAAAUAACCUAAUAUAAAAAAAAUGGGUGCUUCACUUGCACUUUUUUCCCUUAUCUCUUUCUGUUUGUUUUUUUACCCAUUUUGUUUCUUUGAGUGUCUCAAGUACCUCCAACUAGCAGAAUGGAGAUCAUUUUACUAGGAAAUUAAGCUUUUAUUUGCAUUAUUUCUACACUUCUGCUCUAUGUUCUCAAAUCAAUUGUGCAUUCCUUUAAUUAAGGUAAUUCAUUAAUGUAAUCAAACCUGUAGUUCUACUAGACAAGGGUUUGUAGAUGUCUGGUGGCCCUUGUUCAGGGAGAAAACUUGAUCUAUAUCAACAGACUUCAAACACCCUUGUUUUGACCAGUAUACUUGAGCAUAUAGUUCCUAAUGGUCUGUAAGUUUAGAUUGUUUCAUUAUAGGCUCUGGGGAGUGGGAAGAAAGAGCAUGUGUAGGACAAGGAGUAAGUGAACACACUUGCCUACCUUACUAGGAAAUUGCUGAAUUCCAUUUUGUUAAUAAUGUAUAUUCGUCUUCAUCUCUUACAAUCUAGCUGCUAAAAAGUAUUUGCAUUGUUAAGGUUCCAUUGUUUGCUGCAUGAAUAUUAAACUAUUAAUUCCUAAUCUUAACAUUGCUUAUGUAGGU
RNAcentral lists this unclassified non-coding RNA (717 nucleotides) under Hevea brasiliensis (rubber tree). Lineage: Eukaryota; Viridiplantae; Streptophyta; Magnoliopsida; Malpighiales; Euphorbiaceae. The record is from RNAcentral.